ACUCAAUAGAUACCCUGGUAGUCCACGCCGUAAACUAUGCUUGCUAGCUGUUAUCAGUAUCGACCCUGGUAGUAGCGAAGCUAACGCGUUAAGCAAGCCGCCUGUGGAGUACGAGCGCAAGCUUAAAACAUAAAGGAAUUGACGGGGACCCGCACAAGCGGUGGAGCGUGUUGUUUAAUUCGACGGUAAGCGAAGAACCUUACCCAGGCUUGACAUCCUGCCAAGUUUUCCGAAAGGAAAAUGUGCCUUCGGGCCGCAGUGACAGGUGAUGCAUGGCCGUCGUCAGCUCGUGUCGUGAGAUGUUUGGUUAAGUCCAUCAACGAGCGCAACCCUUAUAGUCAGUUGAAUUUUUCUGGCUAGACUGCCCCGGUAACGGGGAGGAAGGAGGGGACGAUGUCAGGUCAUUAUUUCCCUUACGUCUGGGGCUACAAACACGCUACAAUGGCCGGUACAAAGGGCAGCUAAGUCGUGAGACGGAGCAAAUCCCAUCAAAGCCGGUCUCAGUUCGGAUUGUAGGCUGAAACUCGCCUGCAUGGAG
Molecule: ribosomal RNA, 538 nt
Filed under: uncultured bacterium
Lineage: Bacteria
Description: bacterial SSU rRNA
Rfam family: Bacterial small subunit ribosomal RNA
Source: RNAcentral